Equus caballus (horse) is the source of this 5007-nucleotide long non-coding RNA. Lineage: Eukaryota; Metazoa; Chordata; Mammalia; Perissodactyla; Equidae. The record is from Ensembl.
UUGGCCACCGGGAUGUUCCAGUGCAGCCUGUGCUGACACGGGGAUGAACCUCUGCUUGAGGACCUGGUUGCCUCUAUUUCUGAGCUCACAUCAGGGACUUCCUCUCCUUGAAGCUCUCUCUCGUACACUGGCCCUCCCUGGAAGGGUGUGUGGACCAAGCUGUUGAGUCCUCGAAGGCAAAACCUUUAAUCACUGAUGCUUUGAGGUGAAUCAACAAAUUGGCUCAGCAAGUACUUCUUGGGGACCAGUAUUAAGUGAGUUAAUACGUGCAAAGUUGCUUGAAGAGUGCAUGGCACGUGAGAGCGAUACUUCUGGCCACACUCUGGGCCAGGUGGGUGAAGGGUGUUGGGGAAGCUGAGAUGAUGGGCACAGACACUAUCCUCAAAGACCUCUCAGUGGGGAGGGGGCAUUGGUAUGCACAGUCUCAGUCCAGGUGGGAAGUGUGGUGUUCAAAGUGGCCUGGUCCUGGGCUGGGGGAGCCCCUCAGGCUGAGGGCAGCUCUUGCUUGCUGGCUGACUUCCUAGGACACUUUCAUUAUUUCCUGUUAGAAUGGCCUAAGAACUGAGAUGCUCUGCAGGAGUUAAUCCCACAGCUCACAUUGGCCUCUAUCCAGGAAGUGAACUUGGGGAAGUUUUCUCCCUCUGCCUUCCCCAAGGCAGUCACAUUGUUCCUGGAAAGAGGUUGGCGGGAGAGGCUUUGUAAGUCCCCGGGACUCCACGUGGGUGGUGGGGGACCCCAGGCCAGCCUCCUUUCACAGGCUGGUCACCUAGGGGCUUGUCACUCCUGGACAGGCUAGUCAGCAGCUGUCUUUCUGCCAAGGGCCACAGGUAACCUCUGGAGUGGUGUGUUGGGUUGGCACCAGACAUUGGAGCAAUUAAGAAAUUGCAAGGUUUGCAUCAGACACAGAGAAAUCAGCCUUUUCCCCAGUCCAAGAGGGAAGCCUUAUAUUAGGAAUUCAGGGUCCUCUUGCCUUGAAACCAGUGAUGUUCAAAGUGUGGUCCACAGAGUGCUGGUCUGCAAACUGUUAAUGGUCCACAAAGAAGGAAGGAGCUCGCAUUAGUGUAUAAAGCAAAUACAACACUAAGCACAGGUUUAAUGCAGCUGAUCAUCUCUCUCUCUAUAAGAUUCUGUGGUAGGACUUUCUCAAUGAAGGAAGCAGUGCCUGGUUUUAGAUUCUGGUGCAAGCUUGGAAUCUCACUACAGACAAACCCUCUGAGUCUCUCCUUGACACCAUCCAUUGUGAGACAGGACCUGCCACUGUGUCGCUUCAAGCCAAUAUCACCUGUUUCUUGGCCUCCAGGAGCCUCUCACUGGGUCUCCCUCCAUUCAGGUUUACCUUCCUGCAGUCUAAUGCAUCCUCCACCCUGGGAAAACAGAAUGAGUUUCCCCAGUGCAACCCUGGUCAUGCCACUUCCUGCUGAACACUUUCCCAUGGGUCUCUAUUGCUUAUAGAAUAGAGCCCAAGUUCCACCACGUGGUAAAAGGGGCCUGCACCCUCCAGCUCCUGUUGCCUCUCCUGCCUCCCUCUUACCAACUGUACUUUUGUCAUCUGGCCACAGAAUUUCUUUCAGUUCUCCAAACAUACCAAGUUUUCUCUCACUUCUAUGCCUUUGCCCAAGCUGUUGCUUCUGUCUGGAAUGCGGUUCUCCUGUCCUUUGGCCUGGCUCACUGUGAAGUCCUCUUCCUUCUUCAUCAGGGAAGUCAUCCGUGAGCCUUUCCUCAUCCAAGCGUCAGCAGACCACCUGGGUUUAUUAGGUUGGCCUCGGCUGUACGGCAGCGGCUGCUUACUGCUCCCAGACAUCCUUCCUUUCUUUCUGAUCAAUGGGAUCUCUCCAUUUGGCUAAGCUCAUGGCUACGCAGAAUAAAUAUCAUUCCCAAUGUCUCUUGCAGCCAGAUCUAGCCAUGUCACUAAAUUCUAGUCAAUGAGACAUAAACAGAAGAGCUUCUGGGAAGCGUUUUUUAAAGGAUGAGUGCAUUCUUCUUCUACCUCUCCUCUUCCUUCAUGACGGCUGGAAUGUAAACAUGAUGCCUGGAGCUUGGGCAGCCAUCUUUGAUCCAUCUGUUUCCUGAUGGUCACAAGAUGGCUUCAGUGGCUCCAGAUGACACAUCCUCCCACAGCAACAUCCCAGGUAGAUGGAUGAGGCUGGCUUGGAAAGGACAGACCCCCAAGGUUCUGUGAUGACCAGCAUCUCCUCCCUCAUCCAGAGUCCACAAUGAGGAUGAAAAAAACCCCACGAGAGGAAGACUCGCAGAACCCACACAGAAGCUUUGUGCCUGGGCUGCCUGGUGCUUGCAUCUCUCAUCUGGCCAGCAGCUUUGGUCCCAGCUGCGGCGCUCCUGGGGAUGCGUCAUAGGCCUUAAAGGGGUCGCUGCCUGUUUUUGGGGUGCCAUCCUGGCUGGGUGGUAUGGAUUUCCGCUGUAAACUCAGUCCAUCUGGGAGAAGCCCAGGUGCCAUGUUUUGAACAGCUCUGAAACUUAAAGCUCAGAAGGCUUUGAAAUGCAAAUAUUUUGAAGGAAACAUAAGGUAAACAGGAGUGCUUAUUUCCCCCUGAUGAAAACAAUAUGCUGUUUGCUCUGAAAUGUAAAUAGGACCUAGAUCGCUCUUAAAGAAAGCCAUGUCUCAUAUUUUUAGGUCCAGGAUAAUAGUAUUUCUAAAAAUACGUGUAUCCCACAGCCUUCCUACCCGCCUGAAUCCACACUCUCUUUUUGUCCCGGAUGCCCCUCAUUCCAGGCAUUGCUAUCUGCUCCUGUAACUGUUCUAAACCACCUCCCCUCCUCCCAAUCUGCAGCGCCACACUUCUCCUCCUCCACCCUCAUCUAAUUUUUCCAAUACUCUCUGAGAGCUUGGGAGUUCCUUUUGGAUAGAAUUGAGGGGAAAAAAAUUGUAGCCAAAGGCAUUUCACUGACUUGAAAGAGAUUUUAUGGUGCAUUGAGUUCUAAUCAACUUUAAUAAGUAUUUAAUGCAGGAAGAAGACUUUGCCCCCAGCCCCGAGGCCGGCCAUGCGUGCUCGCAGCCCCCUGUUGGCCAUGGGAGAAAGGACUGCUGUGGGGCCCCAUGGUUUGGAUGGGCAUGGCGAGUGACAGCUGCAGAGAAACGAAUAAUUAGCUAUUUCAACCCCUGAUAAUGAGUAGCUGUAUGAUCCUUCUUGGAACCAUUAGGAGCAUCUAUCUUAUUGAUGAUCCCACCAGACAGCCGUGGGCCCUGGUGCCCAGCUCCUCUCUGAUGGGUUCACACAUCUCAUCUGUGCACUGAAGGGCAGAGAUGGGAGGUAGUCAUUUCUCAUCCCUCUUAGUAGUGGGGCUGGGCUUUCUGGGCUGGCAGCACCCCUGUGGCUGACCUGGAAAGCCCCGCCCCCCCCCCCCAUGCCUCUGUACCAUUCAUAUUGAGCAGUCUUUCUCUGCCCAGCAAAGGAGAAGACUAAACACACCCUUUGUGUGUGCCCAUCCUGGGCCACAUGUGCCAGGAGGUGCUGUCACCUGCAGUGUCCUUUGUUCUUCCCUCCUGAUACUCACCUGGAAAGUGCUAUUGUCUUCGCAAUUGUAUAGAAACUCGCUAAGAUGGUUCAGAGCCUUAUCCGAGUUCACACAGCUAGUAAUGGCCAGCUCAAGGACUGGAAUGCCUGUCUUUUUGGUGGGUCUUCCUGCUGCCCCAUAUUGUCCUAUGAAUGAAUUCAAGGAAAUAGCAUCCCUUCAUGGCUGAGUUUUCUCAAAGUCAAUGCCCAAGCCCGGAAUUGCAGACUGACUCCAUUGGCCACAUCUCAUUCACAGAUAUGAAUCUGUUUGACUUGCACAUCUUAAUAAUUGGGAAAUGUCGCAUACAAUUCCAGAUUUACUGAAAAAUGGGAAGAAUUGGGCAUACUUGAAAUUUGUUGUCCCACAUGGCUAGAUCUCAGGGCACCUGCUCUUUUUAGGCAAUUUGCCACAGGCCUCACUACUCCCUUUUGUCCAUAUCUGGCAUGAUUUGUUCAUUUCUAUUACCUGUCUGUCCCCAUAAGUGUUUGAGUUUGAGUGAGUCAUUUACACCUAUGAUUUUCAAACCUUAUUUUACCAGCACAUCCCUUUUCUCAAACUAUAAAGCACAUGAUAGGGAAUAUCAUGGUUAAGGUUUGCUGGACUUGGGAUCCCACUCACGUGGACCCCACCUUCUACCCCAGUAGUCUUUUAAAGUUUGUGGAAACCCUAGGUCCCACAGGACACAGUUUGAAAAUGAUUUUCAUGAGAACACAUAAGUGGCAACAUCUCAAAGAUCCACGGAACUCAACAGAAGAUGCCCUAUCUGGACCCAACACCUUGGAUGUCAAGAACAGCAGCGUCUGAGAAGCCCUUAGAGACCAUCAGAGAAGCCUCGAGAGGACAACUGACUUGCUCAUGCUCACAUAGAAAAUGAAUGUCUGAGUCAGGGCUUAAACUUGCAGUUUGGAUCUGCUUGUCCUUCCUAAUUUUUUUUCUAGAAGAACCUUAAGUGGGAAGCUACUGAUGUGUGCCUAAACUUCUAACACCCUCAGCCUCAGCCUCGUGCCAGCACUCUAUCUUCCAUCCUGGACUCACAAACUUAUUGGAAAAUGAAGAAUAACUCCCACUCAUCAAGCAAAUAGAAUUUGUUGUUGUGGGUGGUAGCUCCUAAACUGUGGUUUGACCCAAAUUUGGAGCAUCUUUAAAAUGCGGAGCAUCUUCUUGGUAUAUUUACUUGACUGGUGGUAAUUUAAAAAUUACUUUUAUGUGAAACGUGUCUACAUAGACAUAUAAAACAGAAGAGAAUGAAACAUUCACCUGAGUCUUUAAAAUAAAACAUGAAGACUUGAAAGGGAUUUAGGGGUUAUAAAGUUGGCUUAGAUAACAUCUCCUCCUGCUCUGGGUCAGGGGUCGCAAACUUUUCCUGUAAAGGGUGAAAUAGUAAAUAUUUUAGGCUUAGCAGGCUAUACAGUCUCUGUUGCAACUACUCAGCUCUGCUAUAGUAACUUGAAAGCAGCCAUAGACAACAUGUAAAGUAGUGGGCAUUGCUGGCUG